This 197-nucleotide ribosomal RNA is filed under the name uncultured bacterium. RNAcentral describes it as "partial 16S ribosomal RNA". It matches the Rfam family "Bacterial small subunit ribosomal RNA", at positions 328 to 539 of the family's 1533-position model. The record is from RNAcentral.
ACGCUCGACACCUACGGGAGGCAGCAGUGGGGAAUAUUGCACAAUGGGGAAACCCUGAUGCAGCGACGCCGCGUGGAGGAAGAAGGUCUUCGGAUUGUAAACUCCUGUUGUUGGGGAAAAAGAGGAUGGUACCCAACAAGGAAGUGACGGCUAACUACGUGACAGCAGCCGCGGUAAUCUGAGCGGGCUGGCAAGGC